UGCCAGCCGCCGCGGUAAUACGGAGGGGGUUAGCGUUGUUCGGAAUUACUGGGCGUAAAGCGCACGUAGGCGGAUCAGAAAGUAUAGGGUGAAAUCCCAGGGCUCAACCUGGGAACUGCGUUUAAUACUAGCAAGCUAGAGAAAUAGAGAGGAAAGUGGAACUCCCAGUGUAGAGGUGAAAUUCGUAGAUAUUGGGAAGAACACCAGUGGCGAAAGCGACUUUCUGGCUAUUUUCUGACGCUGAGGAGCGAAAGCGUGGGGAGCAAACAGGAUUAGAUA
Molecule: ribosomal RNA, 279 nt
Filed under: uncultured bacterium
Lineage: Bacteria
Description: partial 16S ribosomal RNA
Rfam family: Bacterial small subunit ribosomal RNA
Source: RNAcentral